Solea senegalensis (Senegalese sole) is the source of this 1379-nucleotide long non-coding RNA. RefSeq lists it as uncharacterized. The transcript has 2 exons. The record is from RefSeq and is a predicted model, not a curated record. Lineage: Eukaryota; Metazoa; Chordata; Actinopteri; Pleuronectiformes; Soleidae.
GGCUUUGGACAUUUUUUUCACUUGACCAGCCACAUCCUGAAAACCCUGAUUUAAAUGGUCAGUUAUAUUUAAAUGUACCCAAAUCGAGUGAUAGAAGAUGUCAAUAAAUGGUCUGAACAACUAGCAUUCGAUUCAUUCGCUGGAUUUCUUCACACACCAUAUGGAUCAUCUUUGCUCAACUUUACUUGAUUUGGGCAGCUCCCAGGAGGAAAAAGCCUUUUAAGGACACAAUAAUGAUAAUACAGGGGCUGAAGCAAAUAAAUAAAUUAAAGCCAUUAAGUGAAAAAUGUCAUGCUGUCGUCUUCACGUCUAAAUCACACCGCACCAAAUGUGGUAGUCAAAUGUGCAUUCUGCUCUCCCACUGACAUGGUCUGGUCUACGAUGAUAAUCUGUUGUCAGGACUGUCAAAGCAGCACACAGGUCUUCUUAUCUUUGAAAGGAUUGGAUGAGCUGGCGAUGCCAGUGAGCAGAGGGUCACUGUGUCUGUGAUCCUUACAGUACUGGAUCAAGUCUGCUGCUGUCAGGGAUAUCUGCUGGGACAAAGCCGCAGUUGGUCGAUCAGUUUAUUUGUCUGAAGAACACUGUUGCUGGUGCACGUCUUUUCCGACAUUCCGCGGUGUAAAGGCUCCAAAUUUCCUAUGGAUCUGGAUUUAGUGACCUCCUUCAACGCCUAAAGCAGUAGCUGGAAAUUGAUUCAAAGUUGUUUUCCUUUACUGUACCUCAUCCAAAGAGUCUGCACAGGUUGUGCACAAGUGUCUGGUCAGAAAAGCAUUUGACGUUCCCUUUUGACCUGUAAACCCCCUUUUGAUUCACCGUUGCCAGUGGUUCAAAGACUUUUUUGAUGUGAAAGGUCAUAGAACACAGCCGUGGAAAUGUCACUCACAUCACAGACUCUCCUGUCACUGAAGUUGAAAAUAUUAUCAGGCAAGGCAAUAUGUUGUGCUUCAGGUGUACUGUUAUGUAUUGUCUGUUUAGAAUUGAUCAGUUUUGUUGUUAGUGUACACAGGAUUUGAAAGAAAUGUUAGGCUGCUAACAGUGUUAACAGGUCUGUGUGAAAAUUGUAAAUGCAGCUGUUGCUGUCUAUUUGUCCACUGUAAUGGACUGUAAUCAUUGUUAGUGACCACUGAUCAUUUCAAAUUUCCAUCUAUUAAUUACAAUUAGCAGGCUAUACCCAUAUACAGUCUUCCAGUUUGCCGGAGGAUGCCAAUGCAAAAGUAACAAUAUAUUGAGGCUUGGUGUUUGCAAAGAAAAGCCAAUUUGAGUUGAAGUCAAUGGGGAAAUUACCUAUGGCAUUUAUUUGGUACUUAAUUUCAUGUGAUUCAUAUGUGACAUUUGUUUGAACAUGUAUUGCAUAUUCAAUUAUAACCUGUUGUCAGUUU